GUUGGGUAGGGGAGCGUUCUGUAAGCCUGUGAAGGUGUGCUGUGAGGCAUGCUGGAGGUAUCAGAAGUGCGAAUGCUGACAUAAGUAACGAUAAAGCGGGUGAAAAGCCCGCUCGCCGGAAGACCAAGGGUUCCUGUCCAACGUUAAUCGGGGCAGGGUGAGUCGACCCCUAAGGCGAGGCCGAAAGGCGUAGUCGAUGGGAAACAGGUUAAUAUUCCUGUACUUGGUGUUACUGCGAAGGGGGGACGGAGAAGGCUAUGUUGGCCGGGCGACGGUUGUCCCGGUUUAAGCGUGUAGGCUGGUUUUCCAGGCAAAUCCGGAAAACUAAGGCUGAGGCGUGAUGACGAGGCACUACGGUGCUGAAGCAACAAAUGCCCUGCUUCCAGGAAAAGCCUCUAAGCAUCAGGUAACAUCAAAUCGUACCCCAAACCGACACAGGUGGUCAGGUAGAGAAUACCAAGGCGCUUGAGAGAACUCGGGUGAAGGAACUAGGCAAAAUGGUGCCGUAACUUCGGGAGAAGGCACGCUGAUAUGUAGGUGAAGUCCCUCGCGGAUGGAGCUGAAAUCAGUCGAAGAUACCAGCUGGCUGCAACUGUUUAUUAAAAACACAGCACUGUGCAAACACGAAAGUGGACGUAUACGGUGUGACGCCUGCCCGGUGCCGGAAGGUUAAUUGAUGGGGUCAGCGCAAGCGAAGCUCUUGAUCGAAGCCCCGGUAAACGGCGGCCGUAACUAUAACGGUCCUAAGGUAGCGAAAUUCCUUGUCGGGUAAGUUCCGACCUGCACGAAUGGCGUAAUGAUGGCCAGGCUGUCUCCACCCGAGACUCAGUGAAAUUGAACUCGCUGUGAAGAUGCAGUGUACCCGCGGCAAGACGGAAAGACCCCGUGAACCUUUACUAUAGCUUGACACUGAACAUUGAGCCUUGAUGUGUAGGAUAGGUGGGAGGCUUUGAAGUGUGGACGCCAGUCUGCAUGGAGCCGACCUUGAAAUACCACCCUUUAAUGUUUGAUGUUCUAACGUUGACCCGUAAUCCGGGUUGCGGACAGUGUCUGGUGGGUAGUUUGACUGGGGCGGUCUCCUCCUAAAGAGUAACGGAGGAGCACGAAGGUUGGCUAAUCCUGGUCGGACAUCAGGAGGUUAGUGCAAUGGCAUAAGCCAGCUUGACUGCGAGCGUGACGGCGCGAGCAGGUGCGAAAGCAGGUCAUAGUGAUCCGGUGGUUCUGAAUGGAAGGGCCAUCGCUCAACGGAUAAAAGGUACUCCGGGGAUAACAGGCUGAUACCGCCCAAGAGUUCAUAUCGACGGCGGUGUUUGGCACCUCGAUGUCGGCUCAUCACAUCCUGGGGCUGAAGUAGGUCCCAAGGGUAUGGCUGUUCGCCAUUUAAAGUGGUACGCGAGCUGGGUUUAGAACGUCGUGAGACAGUUCGGUCCCUAUCUGCCGUGGGCGCUGGAGAACUGAGGGGGGCUGCUCCUAGUACGAGAGGACCGGAGUGGACGCAUCACUGGUGUUCGGGUUGUCAUGCCAAUGGCACUGCCCGGUAGCUAAAUGCGGAAGAGAUAAGUGCUGAAAGCAUCUAAGCACGAAACUUGCCCCGAGAUGAGUUCUCCCUGACUCCUUGAGAGUCCUGAAGGAACGUUGAAG
Molecule: ribosomal RNA, 1641 nt
Filed under: Escherichia coli
Lineage: Bacteria; Pseudomonadati; Pseudomonadota; Gammaproteobacteria; Enterobacterales; Enterobacteriaceae
Description: partial 23S ribosomal RNA
Rfam family: Bacterial large subunit ribosomal RNA
Source: RNAcentral